This 253-nucleotide ribosomal RNA is filed under the name uncultured bacterium. RNAcentral's name for it is "partial 16S ribosomal RNA". It matches the Rfam family "Bacterial small subunit ribosomal RNA", at positions 524 to 776 of the family's 1533-position model. The record is from RNAcentral.
UACAGAGGUGGCAAGCGUUGUUCGGAAUUACUGGGCGUAAAGGGCGCGUAGGCGGCCUACUAAGUCAGACGUGAAAUCCCCCGGCUUAACCUGGGAACUGCGUCUGAUACUGGAAGGCUUGAGGAUGGGAGAGGGAUGUAGAAUUCCAGGUGUAGCGGUGAAAUGCGUAGAUAUCUGGAGGAAUACCAGAGGCGAAGGCGGCUACCUGGACAAUUGCUGACGCUCAGGCACGAAAGCGUGGGGAACAAAAGGG